CCCUUAGAUGUCCUGGGCCGCACGCGCGCUACACUGAUGCAUUCAACGAGUUUUACCUUGGCCGAGAGGCCUGGGCAAUCUUUUAAACCUGCAUCGUGAUAGGGAUAGAUUAUUGCAAUUAUUAAUCUUGAACGAGGAAUUCCUAGUAAACGCAAAUCAUCAUUUUGCAUUGAUUACGUCCCUGCCCUUUGUACACACCGCCCGUCGCACCUACCGAUUGAAUGGUCCGGUGAAGCCUCGGGAUUGUGGCCAGUUCACUUUAUUGGGAGUUGGCUGUGAGAACUUGUCUAAACCUUAUCAUUUAGAGGAAGGUGAAGUCGUAACA
RNAcentral lists this ribosomal RNA (325 nucleotides) under uncultured eukaryote. RNAcentral describes it as "partial 18S ribosomal RNA". It matches the Rfam family "Eukaryotic small subunit ribosomal RNA", at positions 1470 to 1796 of the family's 1831-position model. The record is from RNAcentral.